Molecule: ribosomal RNA, 466 nt
Filed under: uncultured bacterium
Lineage: Bacteria
Description: bacterial SSU rRNA
Rfam family: Bacterial small subunit ribosomal RNA
Source: RNAcentral
AGAGUUUGAUCCUGGCUCAGGACGAACGCUGGCGGCGUGCCUAAUACAUGCAAGUCGAGCGGAGUUUCCGCGGCGGAAGCCUUCGGGCGGAAGACGCGGAGACUUAGCGGCGGACGGGUGAGUAACACGUGGGCAACCUGCCCGGAAGACCGGGAUAACAUCCGGAAACGGAUGCUAAUACCGGAUAGGCGGACUCCUCGCAUGAGGGGAUCGGGAAAGGCGGGGCAACCUGCCGCUUCCGGAUGGGCCUGCGGCGCAUUAGCUAGUAGGUAGGGUAACGGCCUACCUAGGCGACGAUGCGUAGCCGACCUGAGAGGGUGAACGGCCACACUGGGACAGAGACACGGCCCAGACUCCUACGGGAGGCAGCAGUAGGGAAUCUUCCGCAAUGGGCGAAAGCCUGACGGAGCAACGCCGCGUGAGUGAGGAAGGUCUUCGGAUCGUAAAGCUCUGUUGCCAGGGAAGA